Long non-coding RNA from Chinchilla lanigera (long-tailed chinchilla), 247 nucleotides. RefSeq lists it as uncharacterized. The transcript has 3 exons. The record is from RefSeq and is a predicted model, not a curated record. NCBI's taxonomy places the organism in Eukaryota, Metazoa, Chordata, Mammalia, Rodentia, Chinchillidae.
GCCACAGAAGAGGGAAGGAAGGGAGAGAGAGGGAGAGCAAAGAAAGAGCCCCACAGUCAUCUUCCCAGGUCAAGCCCUGCUUGGGAAGAAAGGGCUCCCAACAACGCGAGACAGCAAACUGAAAGCAAGAACAUGGCAAAGUGCAAACAAAUCCAGUCCACAAAAGGCAGAAAAGCACCUUUGCCAAGCCCAGGAAAGAGAUAAAAAACCCCACCAGCCCGAGGGGCUUUUCCUACCUCGGAAUCGG